Molecule: long non-coding RNA, 424 nt
Filed under: Vulpes vulpes (red fox)
Lineage: Eukaryota; Metazoa; Chordata; Mammalia; Carnivora; Canidae
Description: lncRNA (ENSVVUG00000012326.1)
Source: RNAcentral
CGGAAGUAUAAAACACUGGCCUCCCGGAGCUAAGCUAAACUGUUCACUCACUGCGAUGAUGAGCACACCCACUGACGUGAGCGGCUUGCUCUGUGACUGUGUUAUUAUGGGCCUGGAGGAGAACCCCGACAAGGAAAAGCAGCAGAAUCCAAAUCCCCCAGAGACCUCUUGAAUGCAUUUACUCUACACACUGUGGCACUGGAAACCUCUUGAGUACCAUUCAGGAGUUCAGGCAUGGAUACUGAAGAAAAAUGCUGUAACCUGCCUCAGUUACAUAAUCCUCUACGAAAAGAAAGUAACAGGUUACAAAGUGCCAUUAAAAUAACUGAAACUCUUUCCUAAUGUGAAUAUAUAGAAUCUUCAAGUAGAAGGACAGCAAUCACAUGGGAACAUAUGUUUCAUGGUCAGUAUCUUUUUUUUUCAG